ACCUGCGGAAGGAUCAUUACAAGUGAGGCUACCGAACGUUGGAAACAGCGGUUAGGAGCUUACACCCACCCGUGUUUACAUACUAUUGUUGCUUUGGCGGGCCGUGGCCUCCACUGCGGGCUCUGCUCGUGUGUGCCCGCCAGAGAACCAAACUCUGAAUGUUAGUGAUGUCUGAGUACUAUCUAAUAGUUAAAACUUUCAACAACGGAUCUCUUGGUUCUGGCAUCGAUGAAGAACGCAGCGAAAUGCGAUAAGUAAUGUGAAUUGCAGAAUUCAGUGAAUCAUCGAAUCUUUGAACGCACAUUGCGCCCUGUGGUAUUCCGCAGGGCAUGCCUGUUCGAGCGUCAUUUAACCACUCACGCCUAGCGUGGUAUUGGGGCACGCGGUCUCCGCGGCCCUCAAAAUUAGUGGCGGCGCCGGUGGGCUCUAAGCGUAGUACAUACUCCCGCUAUAGAGUUCCCCCCGGUGGCUCGCCAGAACCCCCAAUUUUUUUACAGGUUGACCUCGGAUCAGGUAGGGAUACCCGCUGAACUUAAGCAUAUCAAUAAGC
Molecule: ribosomal RNA, 550 nt
Filed under: uncultured Phialocephala fortinii
Lineage: Eukaryota; Fungi; Ascomycota; Leotiomycetes; Helotiales
Description: eukaryotic LSU rRNA
Rfam family: 5.8S ribosomal RNA (bases 194-347)
Source: RNAcentral